GGGGAUAGCUCAGUGGUAGAGUGCCUGCCUAGCAUGCAGAAGCUCUUGGGUUCAAUCCCCAGUACUUCCA
RNAcentral lists this transfer RNA (70 nucleotides) under Camelus bactrianus (Bactrian camel). It matches the Rfam family "tRNA". From Rfam's summary of the family: Transfer RNA (tRNA) molecules are approximately 80 nucleotides in length. The record is from Rfam by way of RNAcentral. Lineage: Eukaryota; Metazoa; Chordata; Mammalia; Artiodactyla; Camelidae. RNAcentral also lists the same sequence under 3 other names.